ACGGGGGGGGCAAGCGUUGUUCGGAAUUACUGGGCGUAAAGGGCGCGUAGGCGGCCUGUUAAGUCGAACGUGAAAUCCCCGGGCUCAACCCGGGAACUGCGUCCGAUACUGGCAGGCUCGAAUUCGGGAGAGGGAUGUGGAAUUCCAGGUGUAGCGGUGAAAUGCGUAGAUAUCUGGAGGAACACCGGUGGCGAAGGCGGCAUCCUGGACCGAUAUUGACGCUGAUGCGCGAAAGCGUGGGGAGCAAACAGGA
Molecule: ribosomal RNA, 253 nt
Filed under: uncultured prokaryote
Description: partial 16S ribosomal RNA
Rfam family: Bacterial small subunit ribosomal RNA
Source: RNAcentral